Molecule: long non-coding RNA, 776 nt
Filed under: Lathyrus oleraceus (garden pea)
Lineage: Eukaryota; Viridiplantae; Streptophyta; Magnoliopsida; Fabales; Fabaceae
Description: Pisum sativum (pea) long non-coding RNA (PSAT_LNC035308)
Source: RNAcentral
CACAAUAUUCCAAGCAACUCAAUUGCAACAUGUCCAAACAUUCAACCUACAAUACACAUAACAGAGUAAACACAGUAAUACCAUUCAACUGCAAAUACAAAUCCAACUUGCAUUUCUCAUAAAAUGACUCCCUUACAUUUCAUAACAAGGCACAAAUAAUUUUCAUCUGCAGAGUUACCAAACAGAAAAAAGCACAAGUCCAACUUAUACAUUUACUAAUUCAUUUCACUCUACUAACAGAACCCUCCAAUCUCAAUUCAAACCAUAACAACUAAUCCACUUCAUUCUUCACCAAAACUAACUCCACUCUAAUUUCAUAACUAACGGAAUCAAAUCAAUUCACAACUAGAUCCACUUCAGUUAACUGAUUCUUCACACUAACAGAAUUGUUCACUCUAACUUCAAUUCUCUUCUAGAUUAACUUCAUAACUAACAAACGUCGCCCUAACUAACAUUUAACCAAUUUCUAACAGUUAACUAACUGUCAACAAGCGUUCAACAAUAUUGCAAGAUCAAACACCUAUAAAUAAGUUCACCCAACAACUUCAACGAAGUUCACGAUUUCAUUUCAUUCUUUCAAUUUGCAAAACUCUAAGAAUCUCUCAAAUUUUCACUCUCCAGAAAUUCUCAACCAUUCACUCCUCAAAUCCCAUGGUUCACUCAUCCCAACUCAGACACUCGCUUUUCAGAAUCUCUCAUUCAUUCUCAACCUCGCUCUCUAAAUUCAACUCUGAAAAGAGAACAAUGACGCAAGAACACUCGCUUUUCAGAAUCUC